AUGGGAACGCGAAGAACCUUACCUACUCUUGACAUCCAGAGAACUUUCCAGAGAUGGAUUUGGGUGCCUUCGGGAACUCUGAGACAGGUGCUGCAUGGCUGUCGUCAGCUCGUGUUGUGAAUGUUGGGUUAAGUCCCGCAACGAGCGCAACCCGUUAUCCUUUGUUGCCAGCGGUUAGGCCGGGAACUCAAAGGAGACGUGCCAGUGAUAAACUGGAGGAAGGUGGGGAUGACGUCAAGUCAUCAUGGCCCUUACGAGUAGGGCUACACACGUAGCUACAAUGGCAUAUACAAAGAGAAGCGACCUCGCGAGAGCAAGCGGACCUCAUAAAGUAUGUCGUAGUCCGGAUUGGAGUCUGCAACUCGACUCCAUGAAGUCGGAAUCGCUAGUAAUCGUAGAUC
Molecule: ribosomal RNA, 401 nt
Filed under: uncultured bacterium
Lineage: Bacteria
Description: bacterial SSU rRNA
Rfam family: Bacterial small subunit ribosomal RNA
Source: RNAcentral